GAGUAUUUCUCUCUCUCUCUCUCUCUCUCUCUCUCUCUCUCUCUCACGCACACACACACAGAGAGAGAGAGAGAGAGAGAGAGAGAGAGAGAGAGAGAGCAAAUCAUCCC
RNAcentral lists this microRNA precursor (110 nucleotides) under Marmota monax (woodchuck). Lineage: Eukaryota; Metazoa; Chordata; Mammalia; Rodentia; Sciuridae. The record is from RNAcentral.